GAUGAAGAACGUAGUGAAAUGCGAUAAGUAAUGUGAAUUGCAGAAUUCAGUGAAUCAUCGAAUCUUUGAACGCACAUUGCGCCCGCCAGUAUUCUGGCGGGCAUGCCUAUUCGAGCGUCAUUUCAACCAUCAAGCCCCCGGCUUGUGUUGGGGACCUGCGGCUGCCGCAGGCCCUGAAAAGCAGUGGCGGGCUCGCUGUCACACCGAGCGUAGUAGCAUACAUCUCGCUCUGGGCGUGCUGCGGGUUCCGGCCGUUAAACCACCUUCAUAACCCAAGGUUGACCUCGGAUCAGGUAGGAAGACCCGCUGAACUUAAGCAUAUCAAUAAGCGGAGGA
Molecule: unclassified non-coding RNA, 336 nt
Filed under: soil metagenome
Description: partial contains 5.8S ribosomal RNA, internal transcribed spacer 2, and large subunit ribosomal RNA
Rfam family: 5.8S ribosomal RNA (bases 1-120)
Source: RNAcentral